AUUGAACGCUGGCGGCAGGCCUAACACAUGCAAGUCGAACGGCUGCAGGGAGCUUGCUCGUGCAUUCAGCGGCGGACGGGCGAGCAAUUCCGAGAAAUCUGCCUAUUUGCUGUUGCUAACGUGCUAAAACGGGCACUAAUACGCCAUACGUCCUUACGGCGAAAGGGUGUGAUCUUCGGAUCUCACGCCAUCACGUGAGCCUAGGUCGGAUUAGCUAGUUGGUGGGGUAAAGGGCUACCAAGGCGACGAUCCGUAACUGGUCUGAGAGGAUGAUCAGUCACACUGGAACUGAGACACGGUCCAGACUCCUACGGGAGGCAGCAGUGGGGAAUAUUGGACAAUGGGCGAAAGCCUGAUCCAGCCAUGCCGCGUGUGUGAAGAAGGUCUUCGGAUUGUAAAGCACUUUAGGUUGGAAGGAAGGGCAGUAAGUUAAUACCUCGCUGUUUUGACGGUACCAAAAGAAUAAGCACCGGCUAACUUCGUG
RNAcentral lists this ribosomal RNA (484 nucleotides) under uncultured bacterium. RNAcentral describes it as "partial 16S ribosomal RNA". It matches the Rfam family "Bacterial small subunit ribosomal RNA", at positions 30 to 507 of the family's 1533-position model. The record is from RNAcentral.